GUUGCUCCGGCGGCGCUCGGGGAGGGAGCCAGCAGCCUGGGGCCCAGGCCCGGGCCACCAUGGCGCUGCCUUCGGGCCCAGCCGCCCUCCGGCACACACUGCUGCUCCUGCCAGCCCUUCUGAGCUCAGGUUGUGGGGAGUUGGAGCCACAAAUAGAUGGUCAGACCUGGGCUGAGCGGGCACUUCGGGAGAAUGAACGCCACGCCUUCACCUGCCGGGUGGCAGGGGGGCCUGGCACCCCCAGAUUGGCCUGGUAUCUGGAUGGACAGCUGCAGGAGGCCAACACCUCAAGACUGCUGAGCGUGGGAGGGGAGGCCUUCUCUGGAGGCACCAGCACCUUCACAGUCACAGCCCAUCGGGCUCAGCAUGAGCUCAACUGCUCCCUGCAGGACCCCAGCAGUGGCCGAUCAGCCAACGCCUCUGUCAUCCUCAAUGUGCAAUGUGAGUGGCCCUGAGGUGGGCAGGGAGAGAGGUUCUCUGCCCAGGGACCCCCAGCACCCACCAGGCAGGUGGUCCGCAGGACAUUUAGCAGACACUGCAGCACUUUGCAAAUAUGAACUCAUUUUAUCCUCUGAGUAAUCCCAUGAGGUCAUUACUAUUGUUGUCACCAUUUUACAAAUAAGAAAACUGAGGCAGAAAGAGGUAAGCAAUCUGCCCAGGGCGAUGAUCCCACUGGUAAGAAGCAGAGCCAGGAUUCACAUCUGGGCAUUUGGCUCUAGUAUUUACACUCAUAAUCACUGUGAAAUGCUGCCUCUCUGGCAGACCAGCCAUCCUGUUCCUCAGCAUCCCCUCUGAGGAGAGGCCCAGGUCCCUGGCUCCCAUCUGGGUUUGGGAAGAA
RNAcentral lists this small RNA (838 nucleotides) under Pongo abelii (Sumatran orangutan). RNAcentral's name for it is "retained intron". The record is from RNAcentral. Lineage: Eukaryota; Metazoa; Chordata; Mammalia; Primates; Hominidae.